RNAcentral lists this ribosomal RNA (447 nucleotides) under uncultured archaeon. RNAcentral's name for it is "partial 16S ribosomal RNA". It matches the Rfam family "Archaeal small subunit ribosomal RNA", at positions 330 to 747 of the family's 1478-position model. The record is from RNAcentral.
GCGCAGCAGUCGCGAAAACUCCGCAAUGCGCGAAAGCGCGACGGGGUCACCCCGAGUGCUACCUGCUGAAGGUAGCUUUUGCCUAGUGUAACCAGCUAGGCGAAUAAGAGGAGGGCAAGUCUGGUGUCAGCCGCCGCGGUAAUACCAGCUCCUCGAGUGGUUGGGACGAUUAUUGGGUCUAAAGCAUCCGUAGCCGGCCGAAAAUGUUCUCCGUUAAAUCCAGCGAUCCAAUCGCUGGGCUGCGGGGAAUACUUUUCGGCUUGGGGGCGGGGGAGGUCGGCGGUAGUCCAAGGGUAGGAGCGAAAUCCUAUAAUCCUUGGAGGACCACCAGUGGCGAAGGCGGACGACUAAAACGCGCCCGACGGUGAGGGAUGAAAGCUGGGGGAGCGAACGGGAUUAGAUAUGAAGUUGAGUUUUUACCAGCUUCACUAGAUACCCCGGUAGUCC